RNAcentral lists this long non-coding RNA (968 nucleotides) under Chinchilla lanigera (long-tailed chinchilla). RNAcentral's name for it is "lncRNA (ENSCLAG00000024844.1)". The record is from RNAcentral. Lineage: Eukaryota; Metazoa; Chordata; Mammalia; Rodentia; Chinchillidae.
CGGGCGGGCGCGGCCGCUGGCGUCUGUCGGGGCUGGACGUCGGGGCGUCUGCUUUCGGGGCCGCUGCAGGGGCCGGUGCGGAGCGCGGGGCCGCGGGGCCUGCGGAGUGUGUGUGCGCGCGUGUGUCCGUGAGUGUGCACGCGCGCGUGUGUCCGUGAGUGUGUCGCUCCGUGCGCGCGCUGCACGCCCUGCGCGUUGCUGUCCGGGGCGAGUGUCCCCGCGCGGGCCCGGCACGGGGCAGCCCCGCUGAAGCUCUCAGGUGUGCCGGGGAGCCAGCGGCCUGCCGCGGACGCCCGCGGAGGGGCUGCGGGCGGCAGAGUGCGGUCCUGGGGUGCACGCCAGGGCAGAAUUUGAGCACUUUGCGUCCUCCCCCGUCCGGGCGAAGGCGCGGCUGAAGCGUGGUCGUCACCAGGUCGCCGCCAGCCUCCUACGAGUUCAGAAAGUGCGCGACAGGAAUCAUUGAUUCAUAUCAACGUGUUUGUUUUGUUCAGUCAAGAGAUUGUGAUAACUGAACAAUUUCCUCUUUCAACUAAACUUGGAAAAACUAUGUCCAGUUUCAAAUGCAAGCAUGUCACAGGUAUUAACCAUCCCUAGCCCCAAAUAUUGGAAGGUGGAAAACCAGGCCAAACGUGUAUGACUGAGUGAGCAUGGCCUCAACCAAUGAAGUUUUGCUGUGGCACUCUGGUCACCCUCUGAGAACGCCUGCCUCCUCGACCCUCACAAACCCUGGGAGAAUCAGAAUUAAUCCCUGGAAACAUGGCGGACUGGUUUCCUCUGAGCAGUUUGCCCUUAUGUACAGAAGUGUCCAUAGUGACUACUCACCGGGCCAUGUAAGUUGUAGGCGUCCUAGAAUGGCAAACUACAUUGUUAAUGUAUCUCUCACAAUUGAUCAAAGUAUUCAGGAGAAAUGUAAUGUUCCAGGCACAAGGAGGCCCCAUGUACCAGCUGGAGUUCCUAAGCAAACAUAA